Long non-coding RNA from Stegostoma tigrinum, 3378 nucleotides. RefSeq lists it as uncharacterized. NCBI's taxonomy places the organism in Eukaryota, Metazoa, Chordata, Chondrichthyes, Orectolobiformes, Stegostomatidae. The transcript is spliced from 3 exons. The record is from RefSeq and is a predicted model, not a curated record.
GCAAAAUCAGAAAAUGCCGAUUGAGUCUUAGCAGGAGAGAACUGGCUGAUGUGGAAUGGAAGUGAACAAUCAAAGGAUUGAUCGAAAGUAAACGUAGCUGCCUGACUUUGGAAUAUUGAAAUUACGUGGGAGCCUGCUCAUUUCGGAAAACACAGCCUGGUGUCCAAGAGGUCUGUCAUCAUAGGAGCUAUAUCUUUUCACAUGUAUUCGACGCACACGAUCUCUAACUUCCAAUGCCUCUUCAUCUUCACUGUGUGAUCCCUGACCAGAGGUUCGACUAGUAGCUUCCAAUAACAAAUUAUCAGGAAACUCUGUACAAAGGAGGCUUUCAGCUUGAUUUCUUGUCCUGGAGUCGAACCCAGGUUUCAGAGGUGAAAGGAAAGUGCUGACUGCUUUGAAAUACCUAGAUCCUAUGAAUGUAUCUGUAUCAUCUUCAAAUCCCAAGACAAGGUGAUGACUGAAACUUUGUCGCCAAGUCUUAUAAUGCUGCUGGCUAGGCCAGUCACCUGGAAUGUGUCCAAGAAUGUCCCCAGGAUAAUUUGCUGCUAUCUAUGUUUUCUCUUUCUCCUUCCUUUUUCUAGGAUUAUAGCAGAAUGCCAACUCAAUGCAAAGUCAUCCUUUCAUCUCCAUCCUGCACAAAAUAAAGGACUUGCCAAAUUCAGAUGGCAUUUCAGGGUACCACUGGAUAUAACUUUGGAUCAGGAGAUCAGACACAAAGUCAAGUAUUACUAAAGGAAUCUUACUAAUAUCAGUUCGUUUAUAUAGUGGUCACCUUGUACGUACCUUAGUUUGCUUCUUUUCUGUUGCAUACACAAUGGAAGUACAGCAAACCUCUGCAAGUUUGCGUCCCUGCCCAUAAAAUGACCAGCAGCAAAUCUCAUCUCCUAAAACGUCCUUCAUAAACAGCACUCUUCCAUUAAAUCGCAGGGAUAACUUGUCGAACAGCUCGAUGUUCUUCAACAAAUUGUCAUCAGAAUUGCUGGGACACAGAAUGACUUGGAUUAAAUAGCAUUCGCUAGCAAUUGUACAAGAACACUGGUGCAGUUGUAUGAAGCAUUUUGUUACAGUAGGCAUUUCAACAUCUUCAAAGGUUUGAUUUGACAGUACUAUACUUAAUUUAUGAUAACCCAAGCAAGUCUAUUUUAGCAGCUGUUUCAUACAUAAUGCAAAACAUCAUUGCUUAUGAAUCAGUUUAAGUUUUGAAAUUUGGUUUUGUUCAAAUUAGGGAAUGAAGAAAAUGCAUAAAUUCACCAAGUCCAUGAUCAUAAUCUACAUAAACUUUUGUGCAUGUAGGUUUGAGACUUUUGCAAACAUAGCUGAAUGCUGGACAUGUUCUAAUACAACAGGAGGCUGUGCAAGAUUUUUAUUUUUAUUCUUGUGGGUUGCUCAGAGGCAUUCCAUAGAGCCCCUUGAGACCCAUAUAAAGUUUUAAAAUCAAAUUUCAAUCAGCUUGGAUGCAUCUCAAACUGUGAAUAUGAACAGAUCAGUUCUGAUUUAGGAUUUACUUACCAAUAAGGCAACAGCAUUAACAACAGUCCUUCUCAAACCUGUAAGCCCAUAAGAUUCAAACAGAAAAGAACAAAAAACCCCAUAAAUUAUUAGGGCUACAUGUUUCACAUUGCCUAAAGACCAUCAGUUGGACAUCCAGCAACUAAAGGGAAUGACUUAUUUCAUCCAAUUUGCAGUUCUUUCACCCAAGAAAAAUGGAUUAGGGAAAAGACCGUGACUAUUGUGCAGUUCUUUGCAAUUGUGCAUGUUCUGGUGCCUUUUAUCAAGUCAAAUUUAAGUUCACACUUUUUUUAAUAUUUGCAUCCACAUUGGAGAACAGUUACCAAAUAUUUAGCUCUGGAACCAAAUAUCAAAACCCACUGCCAUGUGGCUUAAACUAUUGGUGAAGCACAUUACUGGUAUUCACUGGACAGUAGGGUACCAGAGAAACACGGAGGAAAAACUGUUCUGCUCCCUUUCUAAAUUAUUAGAACUUUUCAAGCAAUGUAAUUCUUGAUGAACAGAUUAAACCUUAUGCCUUGGACAGAAUGUCCUUGCUGGUCCCAAUUGUCCCCGAAGAUCUUGCUUGACUUUUCACUAUUCAUCCUGAAAACUGCACUCAUGUGACAGAUAUGAUUCAAAGCAAUAUUUUUUUAAAAACGUCUCCAAAAGCUGAUGAAUCAACAUAAAUUAACAUGGUGUAGCCCAAUGCAAAUUAUCAUACCUAGUAUAGGAAUAUUUGUUAUUGCUUCUGUUAUGUAGCAGCUUCACAACAGGCUGUUGGUAAAGAAUAAAGGCAGUUAGCUUUUACUGAAAUAUAUGGAGAAUUAAGUGACAAAUCUAAGAAAAGAUCCUCCAUUACAAAAAAAAGACAAAAAUCUUGUGACCUUUGUACAUGUUUCAAUUAGUUGUUCUUCCUCCUUAGGAGAGGUGAUCAUGGGAAUUGUACAUGCAACUUCACAGCAUUCAUUCUUUUCCUAAAGAAAAUCAAAUUACAAAUGCAGAGGAUGAAAGAAGUCACUAGUGAUAUACUCAAUGUAUUUCUUCACACAACUGUAUUUUAGAAACAGCAAAAGAGAAUGACAUGCAAUUGCCGUGGACAUCACAACUUCACUCAAGGAUUAAGAGACUGAAAAGGAAAUUAAUAAUAGAACAUAAAUACAAAAAAUGGAUUGUGAAGCUUCUGCAGAUACAUAAAAAUAAGAUGUCCGCCGAAGAUGAAUGUGGGUUCCAUUAAAUCAGAGUUGCUGAAUUUUUAUUGGGAAUAAAGAAGGCAGAGUCUGGAUCACUACUACUUAUGUAUUUUCAGUGGGGAAGAUAAAAGAAUCUCCCAGGAUUAAAGAUCAAAGUAACUAGGGAGAAUGAGGAGCUGAUGGAAAUUAAUACAAGUACGAGAGCUGUACUGGAAUUAAUGGGCUGACAGCUGAUAUGUCGUCAGGACUUGACAGUGUACAUCCCAGCAUUAACAAAAAUGGCUACAGAGACAGUAAUCAAUUUCCAGAAUUCCAGAUCCUAGAAUGGUUCCUGCAGAGUGGAAGCUUGCAAAUGCCACCUUGCUAUUUGAGAAAGGAGAAAGGGAAAAUAUGGAACCAGUCAGCCUUGCAUCAUUAGUAAGGCAAACACAAGAAUCGAUCAUAAAGUUUGCUUAAAUUGAAAAAUCUGUUUGGGUAUAGUCAGAAUGGAUUGGCUAAUCGAAAGUAGUAUUUGACAAACUUGUUAUUUUUGAAAAUUUUGCUAAUAAAAUUGACAAAGUGCAGUCAAUGGAUGUUGUAUAUUUGGAUGUUUGGAAAAUUUAUGAUAAGGUCCCUCACAGGAGGUUAGUUAACAAAAUUAAAACACAUGGUACUGGAGAUAAUGUAAUAGCGUGGAUUAAGGAUUGGCUAACAGACA